ACAAAAGGGAAAAAGGCGUGGCGGGCGCAAGCUCGUUUCACGUUCUGGUCCCGAAAUCCUGUAUUCACCCCAAGUUCCUUUAAAAUUUCAAUAAAAAAACUCUGCAAAAAGACCACCUUUUAAAGUGGCAUCUAAUUGCACAAAGCGA
RNAcentral lists this unclassified non-coding RNA (148 nucleotides) under soil metagenome. RNAcentral describes it as "partial internal transcribed spacer 1". The record is from RNAcentral.